GAUGAACGCUGGCGGCGUGCCUAAUACAUGCAAGUCGAGCGAACAGACGAGGAGCUUGCUCCUCUGACGUUAGCGGCGGACGGGUGAGUAACACGUGGAUAACCUACCUAUAAGACUGGGAUAACUUCGGGAAACCGGAGCUAAUACCGGAUAAUAUAUUGAACCGCAUGGUUCAAUAGUGAAAGACGGUUUUGCUGUCACUUAUAGAUGGAUCCGCGCCGCAUUAGCUAGUUGGUAAGGUAACGGCUUACCAAGGCAACGAUGCGUAGCCGACCUGAGAGGGUGAUCGGCCACACUGGAACUGAGACACGGUCCAGACUCCUACGGGAGGCAGCAGUAGGGAAUCUUCCGCAAUGGGCGAAAGCCUGACGGAGCAACGCCGCGUGAGUGAUGAAGGUCUUCGGAUCGUAAAACUCUGUUAUUAGGGAAGAACAAAUGUGUAAGUAACUAUGCACGUCUUGACGGUACCUAAUCAGAAAGCCACGGCUAACUACGUGCCAGCAGCCGCGGUAAUACGUAGGUGGCAAGCGUUAUCCGGAAUUAUUGGGCGUAAAGCGCGCGUAGGCGGUUUUUUAAGUCUGAUGUGAAAGCCCACGGCUCAACCGUGGAGGGUCAUUGGAAACUGGAAAACUUGAGUGCAGAAGAGGAAAGUGGAAUUCCAUGUGUAGCGGUGAAAUGCGCAGAGAUAUGGAGGAACACCAGUGGCGAAGGCGACUUUCUGGUCUGUAACUGACGCUGAUGUGCGAAAGCGUGGGGAUCAAACAGG
This 766-nucleotide ribosomal RNA is filed under the name Staphylococcus epidermidis. RNAcentral's name for it is "bacterial SSU rRNA". It matches the Rfam family "Bacterial small subunit ribosomal RNA", at positions 28 to 776 of the family's 1533-position model. RNAcentral also lists the same sequence under 1 other name. The record is from RNAcentral. Lineage: Bacteria; Bacillati; Bacillota; Bacilli; Caryophanales; Staphylococcaceae.